AUGCUGGAGACAGUCUGUGGAUGUGCGGGGAAGCCAAUAAUUGAAGAUACUCGUUCUUGCCACUGUGAAUGCCCUGCCCUCAUAAGGUUGUUGCAGUCAAAGGACAAUGGUUGGUAUAUAGCUGAGCAUCGAGAAGUGCACAACCAUGCACUGUCACAGACAUUUUUUUUUGAUAAAAGAGAGCAUUCUCUCCGAUUUCCAUUAAGAGAAAUCACCAUGUCUUACAAAGAAAAAACAGGAAAUAAAAACUGCAGCAUAACCCCCCCCCCUACGCAGUACUGUCACAGAAAUAUGGUCAGACACAAGCAUAUUGAUGUGUACAACAGGGAUCUUGUGAAGCAGCUUUGGCAAAACAAUGUAAACCUUGCCAAGGUGUACAUCAUUAUCAGUAGCUUCUUUGGAAGAUGGAGAAUGUACCAUUCACAAAGAGAGCAUUACGGAAUCUGUGUGGUAAGAUAA
Molecule: ribosomal RNA, 459 nt
Filed under: Triticum aestivum (bread wheat)
Lineage: Eukaryota; Viridiplantae; Streptophyta; Magnoliopsida; Poales; Poaceae
Description: partial small subunit ribosomal RNA
Source: RNAcentral